RNAcentral lists this ribosomal RNA (608 nucleotides) under Escherichia coli. Its description in RNAcentral is "partial 23S ribosomal RNA". It matches the Rfam family "Bacterial large subunit ribosomal RNA", at positions 614 to 1222 of the family's 2925-position model. Lineage: Bacteria; Pseudomonadati; Pseudomonadota; Gammaproteobacteria; Enterobacterales; Enterobacteriaceae. The record is from RNAcentral.
AAUGGGUCAGCGACUUAUAUUCUGUAGCAAGGUUAACCGAAUAGGGGAGCCGAAGGGAAACCGAGUCUUAACUGGGCGUUAAGUUGCAGGGUAUAGACCCGAAACCCGGUGAUCUAGCCAUGGGCAGGUUGAAGGUUGGGUAACACUAACUGGAGGACCGAACCGACUAAUGUUGAAAAAUUAGCGGAUGACUUGUGGCUGGGGGUGAAAGGCCAAUCAAACCGGGAGAUAGCUGGUUCUCCCCGAAAGCUAUUUAGGUAGCGCCUCGUGAAUUCAUCUCCGGGGGUAGAGCACUGUUUCGGCAAGGGGGUCAUCCCGACUUACCAACCCGAUGCAAACUGCGAAUACCGGAGAAUGUUAUCACGGGAGACACACGGCGGGUGCUAACGUCCGUCGUGAAGAGGGAAACAACCCAGACCGCCAGCUAAGGUCCCAAAGUCAUGGUUAAGUGGGAAACGAUGUGGGAAGGCCCAGACAGCCAGGAUGUUGGCUUAGAAGCAGCCAUCAUUUAAAGAAAGCGUAAUAGCUCACUGGUCGAGUCGGCCUGCGCGGAAGAUGUAACGGGGCUAAACCAUGCACCGAAGCUGCGGCAGCGACGCUUAUGCGUU